AAAUGACCAGAAUUAGAAAAGUUUCUGCUUCCUGGAGCAGCGUCUCCUUUGAUCUCCGGAGCCAAUGGCUUUUCCCAGAACUACAUAAAUCGAGUGCUGCAUUACCUCUGCGUAUCUGAACGCUUCACAAUGGCUGUCUUGGGGACCAGAGCUUUAGCAGACCUACCUAUCCCCCAUCCAUGCCUAUCAGGCUAGCAAGCAAAGUUAGCAACAGUGGCUAAUUAGCCACGCCAUCCAAAAGUAUCCAUGAAACUGAGCCAGAGUCGCUAAGAAAUAUAACUAUACCAAACGUGGAUGGUGAACGCUGCUAGUGACGAUGGCUGACAAGUCCAGGGACAGGAUUUCGGACAUGGACCCCCC
Molecule: long non-coding RNA, 360 nt
Organism: Brienomyrus brachyistius
Lineage: Eukaryota; Metazoa; Chordata; Actinopteri; Osteoglossiformes; Mormyridae
Exons: 3
Source: RefSeq, a predicted model, not a curated record